GAGGAGGAAGUUCAUUACUUCAGUUGAGUCAGACCAUGCCAAGGUGAAGAGGUGCUCAUCCUUAGGUUGUUCUUGCCCUUGGAAAGGCUUUGCUUUUUUACGAAUCCCAAGGAAGAAUUCUGUGUAUCUGAAGAUUGGAGUAAACUUUCAAAACUCA
This is a long non-coding RNA of Pygocentrus nattereri (red-bellied piranha), 157 nucleotides long. RefSeq lists it as uncharacterized. The transcript is spliced from 2 exons. The record is from RefSeq and is a predicted model, not a curated record. NCBI's taxonomy places the organism in Eukaryota, Metazoa, Chordata, Actinopteri, Characiformes, Serrasalmidae.